GCGCUCAUAGCUCAGAUGGUAGAGCACGAACCUUCUAAGUUUGUGGUCGCAGGUUCGAGUCCUGCUGGGCGCGC
This 74-nucleotide transfer RNA is filed under the name compost metagenome. RNAcentral's name for it is "tRNA-Arg". It matches the Rfam family "tRNA". Rfam says of the family: Transfer RNA (tRNA) molecules are approximately 80 nucleotides in length. The record is from RNAcentral.